AUGUUUGUAAGAGAAAACAGGACGAAGCAAAACGCCGGGGGGAGCCCACCCCCAGAAAAAGACACCCCCCGACCCUUUAAAGAAGCAAACAGCAUUUAUACAGAUUUCAUAUUUCUACCCGCCUUUCCUGAUCUGUGUUUUCUAUAUAUUCUAUAUAAGUAUAUAUGGUGCGGGGCUGCCAGGUGGGGCUUUUGUAGGGGCAGCGGGCGGGCGGCGUGGCCACGCCUGGAGCUGGCGGCGCGGACUCCCCCUCCGUUACAAUCAACUUUGAAUUCUGUAUUUUUUUAUAAUAAAACGAGUGUAAACCUCCAGCGUGUGCAUGUGUGGGGGGCCCUCUGCCAGCUGCGGGGGCGGGGGGGACACUCGGAACUUACAGUUUGGAGCUGCGUCCCGAGGCUGCCCGCGGGGAGGGAGGGAGAUCGGGGCUCCACCGUGACGGAGUCUCGGGUGCUUGGGGGGCCAGGCCCCGGGAUGAGCACUUUGUGGGGCUCUGUCCUUCGUGGCCCUCCAUGGGCCUCAGCGCCCCCCCCACGCCCCCGAGCAGUGAGAACAAGACCCCCCAGGCCGGGGGCGGCCGGAGGAAGCAGGGAAGACACGGGGAAGGCGGCAGAGGCACCCAGAUUGCAAGCCCCCAGGCCUGGUCCGGGUGCCCCGCUCCCUCGGCCGUAUCUGGGGUCCCCGGGGAGGGGAGAGAGGAUCUUCAGGUUCCGAGACGGGUCUUUUAGGAUCCAACCAAAUUAUAUGGCCUCUGUCGCCAAGCUCUGCGGCUGUGUGACUCAGUUUCCCUACCUGCCCAGCCCCACGUCAGGGGUCUGGGUUGCCUCUGAAUCCCUCUCUGGGUUUGCAAAAGGGACGCGUCAGGGACUGUGGGCGCUGAGGGGCCUUCACCCCGGCCUAGCCCCAGAUGGGGGCCCAGAGAGAGGCUGGGGGCCGCCCAGCAGGCCCGGGGACUGGGGACCCCUCGGCCGCCUGUCGCCUUGGUGCCGCCGCCAGCCCCGCAGCCUCCCGGGCACGAUUCGCGGGGAGGGGAGGCCCGCAGCUAAUGAAUUCGGCCGAGCUGGGCCCAAGACAGGGCCUGCCUCUUAA
RNAcentral lists this long non-coding RNA (1086 nucleotides) under Canis lupus familiaris (dog). RNAcentral describes it as "lncRNA (ENSCAFG00040006804.1)". Lineage: Eukaryota; Metazoa; Chordata; Mammalia; Carnivora; Canidae. The record is from RNAcentral.